Spinacia oleracea (spinach) is the source of this 458-nucleotide long non-coding RNA. RefSeq lists it as uncharacterized. NCBI's taxonomy places the organism in Eukaryota, Viridiplantae, Streptophyta, Magnoliopsida, Caryophyllales, Amaranthaceae. The transcript is spliced from 3 exons. The record is from RefSeq and is a predicted model, not a curated record.
CUAGGGCAUACCAAGUGUACAAGUGCAAUGGUGGGAAUUGUCCGAAUAAAACGAGUUUUAAGUCGUGUAAACCCAUUCAUAUAGAGUGUGCUCAACAAAUCGGCGGAACUGAGUGUGGCUAUUACGUUAUGAAGUUCAUGUUAGAGAUAGUCACGUUACAACAUGACUAUGAAGGCCGGCUAGAUGAGGUCUAUACUCCGAGGACUGCGCCUUAUGCUAGUGAGGAAAUUGAUGUGGUUCGUGAGCAAUGGGCGAAGUUUUUUACCACCAAGUAUUUAUUAUUGACCUGAGGGCGCUUGAUCGUGUUGGUUUAGAUGUUAUAGAACAAUCUUUUAUGUUAAAAUGUAUGCGUACGUUGAAAUUGGAACGUAAAUAUAUUUAAAUGUAUCGGUAUGUGCACUUUUGGUUUUGGGAUAUAUACAAAACUCCAGUUGUUGUUUUUAUAUUUGUUAUACAGG